RNAcentral lists this transfer RNA (76 nucleotides) under Staphylococcus aureus. Its description in RNAcentral is "tRNA-Val". It matches the Rfam family "tRNA". Rfam says of the family: Transfer RNA (tRNA) molecules are approximately 80 nucleotides in length. Their secondary structure includes four short double-helical elements and three loops (D, anti-codon, and T loops). Further hydrogen bonds mediate the characteristic L-shaped molecular structure. tRNAs have two regions of fundamental functional importance: the anti-codon, which is responsible for specific mRNA codon recognition, and the 3' end, to which the tRNAs corresponding amino acid is attached (by aminoacyl-tRNA synthetases). tRNAs cope with the degeneracy of the genetic code in two manners: having more than one tRNA (with a specific anti-codon) for a particular amino acid; and 'wobble' base-pairing, i.e. permitting non-standard base-pairing at the 3rd anti-codon position. RNAcentral also lists the same sequence under 1 other name. The record is from RNAcentral. Lineage: Bacteria; Bacillati; Bacillota; Bacilli; Caryophanales; Staphylococcaceae.
GGAGAAUUAGCUCAGCUGGGAGAGCAUCUGCCUUACAAGCAGAGGGUCGGAGGUUCGAACCCGUCAUUCUCCACCA